Molecule: ribosomal RNA, 468 nt
Filed under: uncultured bacterium
Lineage: Bacteria
Description: partial 16S ribosomal RNA
Rfam family: Bacterial small subunit ribosomal RNA
Source: RNAcentral
GACGAACGCUGGCGGCGUGCUUAACACAUGCAAGUCGAACGGAAAGGCCCUGCUUUUGUGGGGUGCUCGAGUGGCGAACGGGUGAGUAACACGUGAGUAACCUGCUCUUGACUUUGGGAUAACUUCAGGAAACUGGGGCUAAUACCGGAUAGGAGCCCCUGCAGCAUGGUGGGGGUUGGAAAGUUUCGGCGGUCGGGGAUGGACUCGCGGCUUAUCAGCUUGUUGGUGGGGGAGUGGCUUACCCAGCCUUUGACGGGUAGCCGGCCUGAGAGGGUGACCGGCCACCUUGGGACUGAGGUACGGCACAGACUCCUACGGGAGGCAACAGUGGGGAAUAUUGCACAAUGGGCGGCGGCCUGAUGCAGCAACGCCGCGUGCGGGAUGACGGUCUUCGGGUUGUAAACCGCUUUCGCCUGUGACGAAGCGUGAGUGACGGUAAUGGGUAAAGAAGCACCGGCUAACUACGUG